GGUUUAUUAUUAUUUUUCUAGUUUGCUUUGUUCAGGAUUUCUAAUUAGUAUUUGACAACGGUUUCUUAGGUAUAAUAGUAGCAGGAUUGUUUGUCUAUAAAUACCUAAGAAAUUUGGGUAUUUUUCUUAGCUUUGAUUAUUACGAUUAAUAUUGAGAAUUGAGAAGAGUUUUAGAGAACUUGUUUCUCUUAAUCUUGGUUUUUUCCUUGUUCUAAAAUCACAUGCACACACAAUGAAAUUUAU
Molecule: unclassified non-coding RNA, 243 nt
Filed under: Hevea brasiliensis (rubber tree)
Lineage: Eukaryota; Viridiplantae; Streptophyta; Magnoliopsida; Malpighiales; Euphorbiaceae
Source: RNAcentral